CAUAUACAUAUAUAGACAUACACAUAUAGAAACAGACAUAGAGACACAUAUAUACAAAGACACACAUACAGACACAGAAACACAUACUGAUACACAGGGUCACAUAGAGACACAUGCAGAUACAGAAACAUACACACACAAACAGAAAAAUACAACUCUGUUCCGCAGAGUAGCUGUUGACAUUAUAGUUGCGCGGGCACUUUGUUGACUCUAGAGAACCUCGGACCAAUCGCACAUCCCCGUGACGGCGACUUUGCAUUCAGAUGUCAUCCAUAUCAACUUUCGAUGCCAGUUUCUGCAUCUACCAUGGUGACCAUGGGUAAUGGGGAAUCAGGGUUCCAUUCCGUACAGGGACCCUGAUAAACAGCUACCACAUGCAAGGAAAGCAGCAGGUGCGCAAAUGACCCACUCCCGACGGGCGAAGGUAGUGAUGACAAAUAACAAUACAGGACUCUUUAGAGGCCCUGUAAUUGUAAUGAGUUCACUUGAAAUCCUUUAACUCUGAUCAAUUGGAGGGAAGUCUGGUGUAGAGCCACUGACCCAUGCGUGCUGCAGCUGAAACUCCACU
Molecule: non-coding RNA, 568 nt
Organism: Pelobates cultripes (western spadefoot toad)
Lineage: Eukaryota; Metazoa; Chordata; Amphibia; Anura; Pelobatidae
Source: the annotation of a GenBank genome assembly